This 23-nucleotide unclassified non-coding RNA is filed under the name Mus musculus (house mouse). Its description in RNAcentral is "oocyte_clustered_small_RNA13620". Lineage: Eukaryota; Metazoa; Chordata; Mammalia; Rodentia; Muridae. The record is from RNAcentral.
GACAUUGGAGCUGAGAUGAAAGG